UACGUAGGGUGCAAGCGUUGUCCGGAAUUAUUGGGCGUAAAGAGCGUGUAGGCGGCCCGAUUAGUCCGCUGUGAAAGUCCAGGGCUCAACCCUGGAAUGCCGGUGGAUACUGUCUGGCUAGAGUCCGGAAGGGGCGAGUGGAAUUCCUGGUGUAGCGGUGAAAUGCGCAGAUAUCAGGAGGAACACCAAUGGCGAAGGCAGCUCGCUGGGACGUGACUGACGCUGAGACGCGAAAGCGUGGGGAGCAAACAGG
Molecule: ribosomal RNA, 253 nt
Filed under: uncultured bacterium
Lineage: Bacteria
Description: partial 16S ribosomal RNA
Rfam family: Bacterial small subunit ribosomal RNA
Source: RNAcentral